RNAcentral lists this ribosomal RNA (433 nucleotides) under uncultured bacterium. RNAcentral describes it as "partial 16S ribosomal RNA". It matches the Rfam family "Bacterial small subunit ribosomal RNA", at positions 29 to 507 of the family's 1533-position model. The record is from RNAcentral.
AACGAACGCUGGCGGCAGGCCUAACACAUGCAAGUCGAGCGGACCCUUCGGGGUUAGCGGCUGACGGGUGAGUAACGCGUGGGAAUAUGCCCUUCUCUACGGAAUAGUCCUGGGAAACUGGGGGUAAUACCGUAUACGCCCUUUGGGGGAAAGAUUUAUCGGGGAAGGAUUAGCCCGCGUUGGAUUAGGUAGUUGGUGGGGUAAUGGCCUACCAAGCCGACGAUCCAUAGCUGGUUUGAGAGGAUGAUCAGCCACACUGGGACUGAGACACGGCCCAGACUCCUACGGGAGGCAGCAGUGGGGAAUCUUAGACAAUGGGGGCAACCCUGAUCUAGCCAUGCCGCGUGAGUGAUGAAGGCCUUAGGGUUGUAAAGCUCUUUCAGCUGGGAAGAUAAUGACGGUACCAGCAGAAGAAGCCCCGGCUAACUCCGUG